UCGGGUGACAGGUGGUGCAUGGUUGUCGUCAGCUCGUGUCGUGAGAUGUUGGGUUAAGUCCCGCAACGAGCGCAACCCCUAUUGUUAGUUGCCAUCAUUCAGUUUGGGCACUCUAGCGAGACUGCCGGUAAUAAACCGGAGGAAGUGGGAUGACGUCAAAUCAUCAUGCCCCUUAUGACCUGGGCUACACACGUGCUACAAUGGUUGGUACAACAAGUUGCGAGUCGGUGACGGCGAGCUAAUCUCCUUAAAAGCCAAUCUCAGUUCGGAUUGUAGGCUGCAACUCGCCUACAUGAAGUCGGAAUCGCUAGUAAUCGCGGAUCAGCACGCCGCGGUGAAUACGUUCCCGGGCCUU
RNAcentral lists this ribosomal RNA (355 nucleotides) under uncultured Streptococcus sp. RNAcentral's name for it is "bacterial SSU rRNA". It matches the Rfam family "Bacterial small subunit ribosomal RNA", at positions 1027 to 1382 of the family's 1533-position model. Lineage: Bacteria; Bacillati; Bacillota; Bacilli; Lactobacillales; Streptococcaceae. The record is from RNAcentral.